UUUUUAAAUAAAACUAUUUACGUAGAACUCCAGAUAAUAAUGGAAAAAUUAAAAUUGACCAAAAAAAGAAUAACCUUGGACUUCGAAAAAGAUUUAUCUCCAAAACCCUAAAUUCUCCCAAAUUUGCAGACAACACUAGCAGCAACAACAGGAUAAUGGCUUGGCGUGGUCCGCUUUCCAGAUCUCUCAUGUCCACCGUUAGGGCUUCGACCUUCCGCUCUUCUCCGCCACUCGCUGCCGGCCGUCUCCGUCCUCCCCCCGUAUCGGCCCCUCGCCGUUUCUCCUUCUCCAAUCCCAGGUUCCGGAUCCCGGUUUUAAUGUCCUUUUUUCUUCUCUUUAAUCGGAUCGUUUAUGGAACAUAUUGACGUGGGUUUUUAUUUAUUUUAUCUGUCAAAAUGAAGAUUCAGAAUCGUAGAAAUCGAAAUUGAUUUUGUUUAGAAAAUAGAACAUUUUUUAACCCUCGUUCGGAUCUUUCGGGUUUCAAAGAUUGGGUUCUGAAAUGAAAUUUUACAGUCAUACAAAUUAUUCGAUUUUCGCAAGUUUUGAAUAAUAUUUUGAAGCCCAAAUAAUAAUAUUUUUCUCUGCUUGUAUUCCAUCAUUGUACCAAUAUUACUAUGGACAUAACUUGUUUCUCCUUUUGGUUUUUUGGGUUGGUCGAAAUAGUUUUAUAUUUCACGCUUCUCACAAACAGAUGUUUUUGCUUGUGAAUGUAGGACCUUGGGGGAGCUGGGAUGCGUGCAGUCACUGAUGCCUCUGCACAACAUGGCUGGAGUUAGGCUGACAUCUCAUUUGGCAACCAAUGUUCGAGCUUGCUGCGAGCUGUCCCAUGGUACCUUCUGCCGUUCUUGUCAGGAUCGCUAGUAGUUUCUUUGUGAGUCUUAAACUGUUGUUACUAGGAGCCAACUAAUGUCAAUGAAGAGGGAAAUUUAAAAUUUCAUAUUUUGUUUUUUAGCAGAAGCUCAUUGAUUUUAUCUCCGUAGUUAUCAAUGAAAUAUGUUGAUGACUUGAGUCUGGCUAUUUCUGAGAUAUUGUUCAUGAGUCGAGGGGUGAAGUAAUUGAAUUAUUUAUUAGCUUGUGAAAAUCUGUUGAUAAGAAAGAGUUGGGAUUAUUGGGAUUUAUAGGGAGGACAGGGAAAGAUGGGUGAUGUCAGCAGCACUUCCCAACACUCAAUUGCAGGACCUGAUGCCACAUUGUAGGUUGAUUUUUUGUCCUUUUUUCUACAUUUCGAUCUAGUAUAAUCUUUCUUUGGGUUCAGUAUAAGAUAAUUAAUGAAAGUACUGAAUAAGUAAUUUAUAAAUUAGAACAACUUUAUAUUCUUAUUUCAUUUUCAUUUUUUUAGAAUAUCUUAUAUAAUGGCAUAGCAUACAUUUAUGUUUUUGAAUAUGUAUAUGAAAGCAAAACUAUUGUCCUUACUGAUGUAAAUUGAACAUUUUGUGCUUGAGACGUAUGUCUUUCUAUUAAUUUUUGUUUGCCCAUCUCGAUAAGUAGUAUCAAUUCAAUUCAAUGAAAAUUUAAUCAAAUACAAGGGAUAAAUUGAAAUAUAUGGACUGUUUCCUUAUCUUCUCCUCCAGCUUGAAAUAUGGAGAAAAUCAUGGGCAGGAAAUUGGAAGGUUUCGCAAUUGUAGGCAAAUACAAAAAUUGUACACUUUGUUUUAUUAGACCUGAAAAUUUAUCUGUCCAGUGCUUUUGUACCCCUGUUUCCUAUGUUUUUCACAAUUAUAAUUUACCUUUCCAAUGCAUGAACAUGCUUUUUACAAAAAUAUUGCUAAGAGCUGAAACUUUAACAGCAUUUAGGUACACGGUAAAAGUGCCUGUAACAUGUGGUAGAUUGCUUUUACUUUCCUGUACAUUAAGUGCUUGGAUUAGUUUGUUAUAUUAUUUUGGUUGUAUGUUCAACAGUACUAAUACAUUGAUCCUUGAUUUUAUUUUACUCUGUUUUGUGAACAAAUAUGUAAAUUUUCAUGAAGUUUACAUAAUGUCCUUUAUCAACAUGUAUCUAAUUAAAAUUAUAUGUAUAUAGGAGGUUACCUAAAAUAAUUUUUUUUUAUUUUGAUAUCUGAAACUGGUGAAUUAUUGGAUUUUCUUUUGGUACAGUGAGUGCUCAAAUGCAGUGACUUUGCCAUUUUAGUAUAAUAGUUCAAGUGGCUUAUUUUUCAGCUUGAACAUCAACGAGGGCAAUAGCAUUAGGAUGUGUUCACAAUUGUUUCUCUGGUUUGGGAUGAAGAUUAGAAUAAUUUUGCAGAUACCAUUGUUCUAUCACAUUAUUUUAUGAUUUCAUAUUUCAAACAGUGCAUACAAAUACUCAAAUUAUUUGUGAGAGAGAAGCUUUCAAGCAUUGAAUUCAAAUUUUGGCACUCAUCUUUGAGUUGUCAACCUCUAUGAAUUGACUAAACAAGUGGAUGAAAUGAAUUGAAUUGAACGUUGUGUUUAUUUAUGUCUGCAACGCACAUCCACAUAGGACUUUUCAUAGAGGUGAGGAUAAGUAGCUUGAGCAUUAAUUCUCUGUUCAAAUGAAUGCUGUGUGGUUUUGCAUCAAAACACAAUGCACUUGUAUCUUAUCUUGCCCAAAUUCUAUACAUCUCUUACUCUAUAUCAUAUGGUUGACUGUCAAAGAGUUUUCGACAUUCGUCAAAAAUUGAGAUUUUGAUGUUUUCAUUUUGAACGGGGUCGAAGGAGUGUUGGUGUGUGAGAGUGUCUAUUUACUGACGGUGUUCGACACAUCCAAACACAAAUAUUUAACCUUCUUAAGGGUGUCCUUGUUUCUUAGGUUUCAAGGACCCCAUUGUACUAUUUUUUUUUUUGUUAUCAACACUAUACAUAUAAUGUCUUUGUGUGAACAUUUGGUUCUUUUGGGCGGUUGUUUUUAGUGUGCAUGCCGUGCUCAAGAAACAUGUUGGUGCUAUUUCAACUGAUUGACAAUAUACCAAGCAUAUUUAAGUGACUCGUUUCACCUUUUAAAUAUGUGGUUUGUAGUGUUCUCCAUAUCUGUCAUCGACGUCAUUAGUAUCUUCUGCUAAUACAGUAAUGCAAAUAUUAUGAUGUGGCAGGUACUUGAACAUGUAGAUGGACCAGCACCACCAGGUGUCUGAAGAUCUGAGGUCUCUGCAUGUAGGUCUAUUCGAUGGGAACAUCCUGUUCGGACAGGGAAAAAUGUAAUAAUGCUUUAUUAUAUUGUCAUAGGCAAGACUUGAAAUCGUUCUCAUAUUUGAGCCAUUUUUGAAAGCUACAUUUUUACCUUCAUAUAUCGAGUUCAAUUUGUGUUGAUCUUAGUAAUGGUUGGAGUUUAUUGAUUUUUUUCAGCCUUGAAAUGAUGUCUUGAACAUCCGAUUAAAUUGUGUUUGUUCGACACUGCCCAAAUUCCAUGAUUAAUUCUAGAAUUGAAAUGUUGAUAUC
This 3393-nucleotide long non-coding RNA is filed under the name Olea europaea subsp. europaea. The record is from RNAcentral. Lineage: Eukaryota; Viridiplantae; Streptophyta; Magnoliopsida; Lamiales; Oleaceae.